This 439-nucleotide ribosomal RNA is filed under the name uncultured bacterium. RNAcentral's name for it is "partial 16S ribosomal RNA". It matches the Rfam family "Bacterial small subunit ribosomal RNA", at positions 339 to 795 of the family's 1533-position model. The record is from RNAcentral.
CUACGGGGCGCAGCAGUGGGGAAUAUUGCACAAUGGGGGAAACCCUGAUGCAGCAACGCCGCGUGGAGGAUGACACAUUUCGGUGCGUAAACUCCUUUUAUAGGUCAAGAUAAUGACGGUAGCCUAUGAAUAAGCGCCGGCUAACUCCGUGCCAGCAGCCGCGGUAAUACGGAGGGCGCAAGCGUUACUCGGAAUCACUGGGCGUAAAGAGCAUGUAGGCGGGUUAAUAAGUCAGAAGUGAAAUCCAAUAGCUCAACUAUUGAACUGCUUUUGAAACUGUUAACCUAGAGUGUGGGAGAGGUAGAUGGAAUUUCUGGUGUAGGGGUAAAAUCCGUAGAGAUCAGAAGGAAUACCGAUUGCGAAGGCGAUCUACUGGAACAUUACUGACGCUGAGAUGCGAAAGCGUGGGGAGCAAACAGGAUUAGAUACCCGGGUAGUC